GUAUUGUUUCUGGUAUAUCUGCCGGAGUGAUGUUGCAAAUUAAAUGACGUUAUUUUCUUUCUCUCUUUUUCUCUGAAUUUUGUUUCCGUACAGGACACAAUCAAGCAAUGAAAGAUGGGAAAAGAGAGUCAAUAUUCAUUGACGGUGGGCACGGCGUAUCCGUCCAGCUCCCUGCCUGCACUCGGGAUCCUGGCGCAGCCUGUGUGGACGCCGGCCGGCCGGCCAGCGCUCUGAUCUGCCGUUAGCUGUGGUAACGAGUUAUGACUGUGACCUUCCUGACUGAAGUAAUGGUCUCUGCAAACGCAUAUGCACUUUGGAGCAGGAAAGGUGACAGCCAUAAAGAAAAUGAAAAGAAGUUGAAAGAAAAUGCCCUUUCCUCUGAAAAGAAAGCAGAAGAGUCUAGGCACCCAAAAGCCCUCCUGUUGAAAAUCAGAGUCUUUUAGAGAAGCUUACGUUAACUGGAGAGAGCAGCAAUGGCCUGUUCCCACGGGAGGCUUGCAGCGCCCGGGCUAACUCCCCGUGCUGUCACGGGCUCCUCUCCUGACCCAAGGCAAGUCGCCGAAGUCGCUGUUCGUGUAGACGUCUAAGCUUGUGUGCUCUGAGGGCCCAAGUCCCUCCGAUACCUGAGCUAUCCGUGCUCCCACCUCUGCUCCAGUUACCCGCCUGUGAAAUGGGUGUAAGCGCAGCGUUUGCCUGAGGUGCUGUGAGGACGGCGUGGGGAAGGCGGUGAGGUGCCCAUACGCGUGUCCUAA
RNAcentral lists this long non-coding RNA (752 nucleotides) under Apteryx rowi (Okarito brown kiwi). RNAcentral's name for it is "lncRNA (ENSARWG00000009018.1)". Lineage: Eukaryota; Metazoa; Chordata; Aves; Apterygiformes; Apterygidae. The record is from RNAcentral.